RNA transcript from Dipodomys ordii (Ord's kangaroo rat), 417 nucleotides. It is a transcript of the gene named ATP synthase-coupling factor 6, mitochondrial pseudogene, with no coding region annotated. The transcript has a single exon. Lineage: Eukaryota; Metazoa; Chordata; Mammalia; Rodentia; Heteromyidae. The record is from RefSeq and is a predicted model, not a curated record.
GUCCGAACCACCAUGAUUCUUCAGAGACUCUUCAGAUUCUCCUCUGUCAUUUGGUCAGCAGUCUCUGUCCACUUGCGGAGGAACAUUGGUGUUACAGCUGUGGCAUUUAAUAAGGAACUUGAUCCUAUACAGAAACUCUUUGUGGACAAGAUUAGAGAGUACAAAGCAAAGCGACAGUCAUCUCAAGGACCUGUUGAUAUUGGCCCAGAGUAUCAGCAAGACCUGGAGAGAGAGAUUUUUAAACUUCAACAAAUGUAUGGGAAAGGAGACAUGACGACGUUCCCCACCUUCAAAUUUGAAGAUCCCAAAUUUGAAGUCUUGGAAAAACCCUCAUCCUAAAGAAAUAACAUGAAGUGAAUCUGGUAACUUGUCAUGGAUUUGUUGUACAACUACUUAGAAAUAUAAUAAAUAUACACU